Molecule: long non-coding RNA, 305 nt
Filed under: Androctonus crassicauda
Lineage: Eukaryota; Metazoa; Arthropoda; Arachnida; Scorpiones; Buthidae
Source: RNAcentral
GUAAACUCCGUGAAAAGUAAAAUAAGAGUUGUGGCACAGUAAGUGUGCAAUGUCUCUCAACAGCUUCUCUCUGCUUUGUGCACAUGGGAGGUUCUGUAGCAUAACAAUUCAGCAGGAUGAAUUUAUUGCUGUGCCAUACUCUAUAAGUACAUCAAGCACUAUAAGAGAUGUUAUCCGUAAAUCUGGAAAGAGAAUCUCUACAAGGAGAUCAACAUCCCUCUUUAACGCGCUCCGCAACAAAAAAGACCGGAGGACAGACAUGGAGAGAUCGGGUGUACUGUAUAUGCAAUACCAGUUGGGUGUCC